CCUACGGGAGGCAGCAGUGAGGAAUAUUGGUCAAUGGACGCUAGCCUGAACCAGCCAAGUAGCGUGAAGGAUGACUGCCCUAUGGGUUGUAAACUUCUUUUAUAUGGGAAUAAAGUGCAGUAUGUAUGCUUUUUUGCAUGUACCUUAUGAAUAAGGAUCGGCUAACUCCGUGCCAGCAGCCGCGGUAAUACGGAGGAUCCGAGCGUUAUCCGGAUUUCUUGGGUUUAAAGGGAGCGUAGGCGGGUUGUUAAGUCAGUUGUGAAAGUUUGCGGCUCAACCGUAAAAUUGCAGUUGAUACUGGCAGGAUUGAGUACAGUAGAGGUAGGCGGAAUUCGUGGUGUAGCGGUGAAAUGCUUAGAUAUCACGAAGAACUCCGAUUGCGAAGGCAGCCUGCUGGACUGUAACUGACGCUGAUGCUCGAAAGUGUGGGUAUCAAACAGGAUUAGAUACCCCAGUAGUC
Molecule: ribosomal RNA, 460 nt
Filed under: uncultured bacterium
Lineage: Bacteria
Description: partial 16S ribosomal RNA
Rfam family: Bacterial small subunit ribosomal RNA
Source: RNAcentral